Molecule: ribosomal RNA, 504 nt
Filed under: uncultured bacterium
Lineage: Bacteria
Description: partial 16S ribosomal RNA
Rfam family: Bacterial small subunit ribosomal RNA
Source: RNAcentral
GAUGAACGCUAGCUACAGGCUUAACACAUGCAAGUCGAGGGGCAGCAUGACGAUAGCUUGCUAUUGUCGAUGGCGACCGGCGCACGGGUGAGUAACGCGUAUCCAACCUGCCCUUGUCCACCGGAUAACCCGUCGAAAGGCGGACUAACACGGUAUGCAGUCCACAGCAGACAUCUAACGUGGACGAAAUGUGAAGGAGAAGGAUGGGGAUGCGUCUGAUUAGCUUGUUGGCGGGGUAACGGCCCACCAAGGCGACGAUCAGUAGGGGUUCUGAGCGGAAGGGCCCCCACCUUGGAACUGAGACACGGUCCAAACGCCUACGGGAGGCAGCAGUGAGGAAUAUUGGUCAAUGGGCGGGAGCCUGAACCGGCAAAGUGGCGUGCAGGAAGACGGCCCUAUGGGUUGUAAACUGCUUUUAUACGGGGAUAAAGUGAGUCACGUGUGGCUUAUUGCAGGUACCGUAUGAAUAAGGACCGGCUAAUUCCGUGCCAGCCGCCGCCGUAA